UCUGCAUGGGAAGGAUGAAGAUGAUAGUGAGUGGUUUCUGCUGCCCAUGAUAGAUCUUUCUGCAUCAGACUCCUGCAACUUUGUUUACGUCACAGAGUUCAGGACUGAACAGCCAAAUCCAUGGUGACCCUCUUACUCCUUGAGCUCUGGGACUCCAUCAGCAUCACAUCAACACACAUGGAUGUGAGAGAGCACUUGAGGCACUUGGAAGGCAUUUUUACUUAAAAAGCCUUGACCCCUCCCUGGGGCCCCACAAGUUGAUGUAGGUCAUGGAAAACCAUGUGAAGAUGGAAGAGAUGCUGAAGUAACAAGCCCCAGCGUAAGAGGUUAACAGAACCACUUAUUAUUCCUGGGGCUUCUCAAGCUCUAAGAGGAGAAACCUGAUAGAGACCUCCAAUUCAGAUUCUCUCUCUCCAUAACGUCUGGUUGUGAGUCUCUGCACGAAAUCCUAUCUGCUGCCAGAGGAAGCCUCCCUGAUGACGACUGGACAAGACACCGAUCUAUGAGAACAGCAGAAUAACAUUACAUGUGGGGAGCGGGGGGGGGGGCUUCCCCUGCAGUGGGUUGCUUACAGGGUAGGUAGCAGAGGAGAAACGGAAGAGAGGGAGGAGUGAGUUAGGCCGUGGUCAAGGGAAUCUCACAGCUGAGAACACUUCUGCAGCUCUGACUGACCAGCAACCAGGUGCUUCUUUCUACAGGUUUCACGGAACAGAAACAGACUAAUAAGCCUUCAAGAAGUAAAGCUUAUGCGGUUGAUUAUUUGUUACAUGUUCCGAGUUAUGAGUUCAGUCACAAUUAGAAACCACCAACAGAUUUUAGUUUUAUUAUCGGCCCAGUAAGUCCAAUGUAGAGAAUCUAAAGAAUAUCUCCUUCAAAGCAAACACAUUGAUUUUAUGACAGCCUGCUUUUAGGCUAGCAGUGUUUAACAGUUUUAAAGCACUCCAGACAAACAAAAUAUCUGAACCAGUCUUUUCAUGAACAGCAAAUAUUAAUACCUAACUCCUUUUACUAUGUUUCAUCAUCUAUGCUGUAAAGUAGAAAAAGUUUAUUUUCGUCAAUCCAUCUUAAUAACUGAGUUUAUUCCUCUCGGGUGCAUCUAGUAAGGCUAUCUCCUCUAUCUUUAAACUACACUUUCAGAGAGCUCUAAACUUAUAAUCUGUAACUUGUUCCCCUGGGCAGUCAAAGUUUGUCAGUUGCCUCUCUAUACCCUGAACCAAUUAUAAUGUUUUAGUUUUCUCAGGGGCAGAUACCCUGAAGAAGUUUCCUGGAGUAAUGACGUCAUCUAGCUACGUGCUUGGCUGGGCUUCAUGGUCUCCAGAACAUAAGCAAGACUUCAAAAUAGUAGAUGGAUAAAGCUAUGUUUAGAAGUUUCCUAAAAAAGACUCAGGCAUAAUUUUCCCUUGAAAUACAUAAAAUGAAUCAUAAUGCAGAAUGUCCCCAAGAAUGCAACAUGCAGACACCAAAACCCAGAAGUUAGGGACAGAAGGACAUUGAUUGCAGUACAUGACUCAGCUUUGCUGGAACUGUGUCAAGCAGCUGUGCUGACAUCAUGGCUCUCACUGUUUCCAGUGGAUAUGGCUUGCCCAACUAGGAAUCAUAUCACUGAUUAUAUGCAUUUAUGUAUAUAAUAAUUACGUAUUUUUGCCAGUCCUGAUCCUGCAUAUAGAGGCAGAAUAAGGCAUGGGUCUCAAGUUAAACUGGAACUCAAUUGGCCACUCC
This is a long non-coding RNA of Mastomys coucha (southern multimammate mouse), 1719 nucleotides long. RefSeq lists it as uncharacterized. The record is from RefSeq and is a predicted model, not a curated record. The transcript has 4 exons. Lineage: Eukaryota; Metazoa; Chordata; Mammalia; Rodentia; Muridae.